RNAcentral lists this signal recognition particle RNA (296 nucleotides) under Suricata suricatta (meerkat). RNAcentral's name for it is "Metazoan signal recognition particle RNA (ENSSSUG00005009941.1)". It matches the Rfam family "Metazoan signal recognition particle RNA". Rfam says of the family: The signal recognition particle (SRP) is a universally conserved ribonucleoprotein. It is involved in the co-translational targeting of proteins to membranes. The record is from Rfam by way of RNAcentral. Lineage: Eukaryota; Metazoa; Chordata; Mammalia; Carnivora; Herpestidae.
GCCGGGCGCGGUGGCGCGCUCCUGUAGUCCCAGCUACUCGGGAGGCUGAGGCAGGAGGAUCGCUUGAGCCCAGGAGUUCUGGGCUGUAGUGCGCUAUGCCGAUCGGGUGUCCGCACAAAGUUCGGCAUCAAUAUGGUGACCUCCCGGGAGCGGGGGACCACCAGGUUGCCUAAGGAGGGGUGAACCGGCCCAGGUCGGAAACGGAGCAGGUCAAAACUCCCGUGCUGAUCAGGAGAGGAGAUGUUGGUUUUGAAGAGUAAAAAGGCAGACAGGUGACUAAAAUUAAGAUGCCUUCU